Molecule: long non-coding RNA, 874 nt
Organism: Microtus ochrogaster (prairie vole)
Lineage: Eukaryota; Metazoa; Chordata; Mammalia; Rodentia; Cricetidae
Source: RefSeq, a predicted model, not a curated record
AUAGGCUGACGACCAAAGUCCAUGACCACCAGGCCUUUCUCAAGCCAGGGUUACUGUAGUGUAUGCAAUGCCUCUUAGAUCGCUAUUGAUCAAGAUGGCGGCCUUCCUUCCUGACUUCUGGGUCCUGCACGUCUAUAAAUCUCUACUUCAGAUGUCGUGAUUUGGCACAUACCACAGGGGGUUGGGUGAUGAUACUCCAGAGAGUUUGCCAUAAAAUCUUGAUGGAAACAUGAACGACCAAGUAGCAGGACUGUCUGUACUGCAACCUAGAUCCCCUGCGCUGAGCUCACGCACAUCUGUCAGCCUUCUGUGUCACCUCGUAUGGCUAGAACGCACUUGCCAAAUCAGUGACCACUAAAAUGGAUUUGCUGCUAUGUUCAUUUCCUCUGGUAAAGAUGCCAAACUAGGUGUGGUGACUGCUGGACAACUACCGCUUGAACGGGUUUAGCUGCUCUGCUAUCAGUCAUUAUCCUCCAGGUUCAGUUUGGUUUCUUCAGGGACAACACUGCUGAUGAAAAUGUGAAAUGACCCUUAAAGGUUACAUUCUGAUGUUUGUUUUAUGGUGUAUCGUCAAGGAGAUCUUUUCGUUUUAUAUGUGGGUCUUGAUUGACUAUUAACAAUCCCUAGUCUCCUGUAAUAUUUUUAUAGAACAGCCUAACUACCCCUCAAGCUAUCCUAUUUGUCAUUACUAUUCUCUACCCCAAAUAUCUUGAAAUGUCUAGCAUGUUACAUACCAGGAGCACACAACUCCAGUUCAACACUCGUAUAACCUCUAGCAGGUGAAGUACCACCGUACGCUAAAGGUAUCUGUGUUCUGGUUACCAGAUGUGGUGGGAUUCUCAGUGCCAUUGCACCAAAAAAAUAGACAUCUGAA